Molecule: ribosomal RNA, 261 nt
Filed under: Triticum aestivum (bread wheat)
Lineage: Eukaryota; Viridiplantae; Streptophyta; Magnoliopsida; Poales; Poaceae
Description: partial small subunit ribosomal RNA
Source: RNAcentral
AUGAACCGGUAUGGUAUGCCAUUCAUACCCUUUGUUGGUCUUAACCAUCACCGGAAGACCACUGUUUUUGCUUGUGCCAUAGUUUCGGACGAGACCGAAGAGACAUAUGUGUGGCUGCUAGAGACUUUUUUGAGGUCCAUGUGUCAAAAGAUGCCGAAGAGUGUUAUCACGGACGCCGACGCUGCGAUGAUCAAGGCAAUUCGCCAAGUCUUGCCAGACGUGUGGCACCGUAUAUGUACGUGGCAUAUAGAAAAAAUAUGA